GUUUCCGUAGCUCAGUUGGAUAGAGCAACCGCCUCCUAAGCGGUAGGUCGGGUGUUCAAAUCACCUCGGGAACGCCA
Molecule: transfer RNA, 77 nt
Filed under: Erysipelotrichaceae bacterium
Lineage: Bacteria; Bacillati; Bacillota; Erysipelotrichia; Erysipelotrichales; Erysipelotrichaceae
Also listed under: 1 other name
Description: tRNA-Arg
Rfam family: tRNA
About the family: Transfer RNA (tRNA) molecules are approximately 80 nucleotides in length.
Source: RNAcentral